CUGUUUUAGAUAGGGCUGUUGGGUGUUGGCUUAUAGAUGUGAUUCAGAGUGAUCAUUUCAUUUCUUUUUUGUUGCAAACUGUCCACUUCUGUAACAUGAUCGUUGUUAGUUUGUACUGUUUUCCAUUAGUAUUUCGGUGUGUAGCUUUCCUUUGAGUUACCCUUUUCUUUGUAAGCUUGGAUGGGGCUAAGGAGACCACUUCAUAGCUGAAAUAUUUAUACAUGCCUUUUAAGCAUUCAAUUUUCAAUUUUCGAUUUUGGCCUAGAGUUCAAUCGUUAUUGUUAGUUUGUACUGUUUUCCAUUAGUAUUUCCGUGUACAGCUUUCCUUUGAGUUAACCUUUUCCUUGUAUGCUUGGAUCGGGCUAAGGAGACCACUUCAUAGCUGAAAUAUUUUUGCGUGCGAUCAACUUGAAGAAGCUGACGUAUGAGGAAAGGAAAGCUAAGUUGAUUGAACGAUUACACACACUGAAUGCCGCUGCCGGUGCGGAUUCCAAAGACGAGGAUUGAAUGUAGGAUGCUGAUUUCAAAAAUACUGAACUUGUUUACCUGCUUUUAGUCAAAUCAGGGGUGGUUAUGUUCCAUUAUCUUCAAACAUCAGUUCAUCACAGAGAGGCUAAAUUCCUCUAUUCUAACAGGUUAAAUCCCAAAGUUCUCAAACCUUCAUCUUCAAUGGCCUGUCUUGAAUCAAAGUUAGUUGCCUGUAACAAGAACAAUGGAAGCCUACUUUGAUGCUUAUAAGAAUGUACAAAUCUCCAUAGCUUGAUGUUCCUUUUCUCUAAUAGCUUCUUCUGUAAUGUAUAUAAUUUCAAACAUAUGUGUAUCUCCUUGAAUUGAAAUGAUAAACAAGAGGAAACUUCUCUUGGC
This 864-nucleotide long non-coding RNA is filed under the name Gossypium barbadense (sea-island cotton). RNAcentral's name for it is "long non-coding RNA (GBAR_LNC001047)". Lineage: Eukaryota; Viridiplantae; Streptophyta; Magnoliopsida; Malvales; Malvaceae. The record is from RNAcentral.